CUUUAGUUUGGCUGCAUCAUUUUUCCAUGUGGACUGCUUCCCAAAAAUGAAACCAGAUAAUCUCCAGAAAACUUCAGCAUGACAUCUCAAAGUCCCCUUCUACAGGCAUAGGCAGUAAGCCUGUAGCUGUCGUAGGUCGCUAGCGAACAUCCCAGCCGCCCGUCCUCGCGAGUCUGCGACGUAGGCCAUCUCAACAUCCAUGACUGUCGUCCCAUUUGGAGGUAACCAGCUACUUCGAGGAAAC
RNAcentral lists this long non-coding RNA (244 nucleotides) under Mytilus galloprovincialis (Mediterranean mussel). The record is from RNAcentral. Lineage: Eukaryota; Metazoa; Mollusca; Bivalvia; Mytilida; Mytilidae.